This 27-nucleotide non-coding RNA is filed under the name Rattus norvegicus (Norway rat). The record is from RNAcentral. Lineage: Eukaryota; Metazoa; Chordata; Mammalia; Rodentia; Muridae.
UGGGAUUACAAGUGUGCACAACUUUCC